UACGGGGGGGGCAAGCGUUGUUCGGAAUUACUGGGCGUAAAGGGCUCGUAGGCGGCCAACUAAGUCAGACGUGAAAUCCCUCGGCUUAACCGGGGAACUGCGUCUGAUACUGGAUGGCUUGAGUGUGGGAGAGGGAUGCGGAAUUCCAGGUGUAGCGGUGAAAUGCGUAGAUAUCAAGAGGAACACCUGCGGCGAAGGCGGGUUGCUGGGCCGACACUGACGCUGAGGCGCGAAAGCUAGGGGAGCGAACGGG
Molecule: ribosomal RNA, 253 nt
Filed under: uncultured bacterium
Lineage: Bacteria
Description: partial 16S ribosomal RNA
Rfam family: Bacterial small subunit ribosomal RNA
Source: RNAcentral